This 1386-nucleotide ribosomal RNA is filed under the name Salmonella enterica subsp. enterica serovar Enteritidis. RNAcentral describes it as "partial 23S ribosomal RNA". It matches the Rfam family "Bacterial large subunit ribosomal RNA", at positions 161 to 1590 of the family's 2925-position model. Lineage: Bacteria; Pseudomonadati; Pseudomonadota; Gammaproteobacteria; Enterobacterales; Enterobacteriaceae. The record is from RNAcentral.
AAUCCAUAGGUUAAUGAGGCGAACCGGGGGAACUGAAACAUCUAAGUACCCCGAGGAAAAGAAAUCAACCGAGAUUCCCCCAGUAGCGGCGAGCGAACGGGGAGGAGCCCAGAGCCUGAAUCAGCAUGUGUGUUAGUGGAAGCGUCUGGAAAGGCGCGCGAUACAGGGUGACAGCCCCGUACACAAAAGCGCAUGUGCUGUGAGCUCGAUGAGUAGGGCGGGACACGUGGUAUCCUGUCUGAAUAUGGGGGGACCAUCCUCCAAGGCUAAAUACUCCUGACUGACCGAUAGUGAACCAGUACCGUGAGGGAAAGGCGAAAAGAACCCCGGCGAGGGGAGUGAAAAAGAACCUGAAACCGUGUACGUACAAGCAGUGGGAGCACCCUUUGGGUGUGACUGCGUACCUUUUGUAUAAUGGGUCAGCGACUUAUAUUCUGUAGCAAGGUUAACCGAAUAGGGGAGCCGGAGGGAAACCGAGUCUUAAUUGGGCGUUAAGUUGCAGGGUAUAGACCCGAAACCCGGUGAUCUAGCCAUGGGCAGGUUGAAGGUUGGGUAACACUAACUGGAGGACCGAACCGACUAAUGUUGAAAAAUUAGCGGAUGACCUGUGGCUGGGGGUGAAAGGCCAAUCAAACCGGGAGAUAGCUGGUUCUCCCCGAAAGCUAUUUAGGUAGCGCCUCGUGAAUUCAUCUCCGGGGGUAGAGCACUGUUUCGGCUAGGGGGCCAUCCCGGCUUACCAACCCGAUGCAAACUGCGAAUACCGGAGAAUGUUAUCACGGGAGACACACGGCGGGUGCUAACGUCCGUCGUGAAGAGGGAAACAACCCAGACCGCCAGCUAAGGUCCCAAAGUCAUGGUUAAGUGGGAAACGAUGUGGGAAGGCCCAGACAGCCAGGAUGUUGGCUUAGAAGCAGCCAUCAUUUAAAGAAAGCGUAAUAGCUCACUGGUCGAGUCGGCCUGCGCGGAAGAUGUAACGGGGCUAAACCAUGCACCGAAGCUGCGGCAGCGACGCUUAUGCGUUGUUGGGUAGGGGAGCGUUCUGUAAGCCUGCGAAGGUGGCCUGUGAGGGUUGCUGGAGGUAUCAGAAGUGCGAAUGCUGACAUAAGUAACGAUAAAGCGGGUGAAAAGCCCGCUCGCCGGAAGACCAAGGGUUCCUGUCCAACGUUAAUCGGGGCAGGGUGAGUCGACCCCUAAGGCGAGGCCGAAAGGCGUAGUCGAUGGGAAACGGGUUAAUAUUCCCGUACUUGGUGUUACUGCGAAGGGGGGACGGAGAAGGCUAUGUUGGCCGGGCGACGGUUGUCCCGGUUUAAGCGUGUAGGCUGGUUUUCCAGGCAAAUCCGGAAAAUCAAGGCUGAGGCGUGAUGACGAGGCACUACGGUGCUGAAG